AUUACCACUGUCUUCUGGAAGAGACCUGAACUGAAGAUAAUAUAGAUGCCUAAGAGCUGAGCAAGAACUCAACAGAAAGCAGACGACUCAUAUGAGUGCCAUCCACUGAAAAAGAACUGAGGAGAGUAAGGAAGCCUGAUCAGGAACCAAGCAAAAGAAAACAAGGGUUUGGAGGAUGGUGGCAACAGUAAGACUCUCUCUGGGAACUCAGAAGAACUACAGCAGAGUGGGGGAGGAUGACAGCAAAUCAGAGGAUAGUUGAAGCAUGAAGGUGACUCCAGGUUAUUCGAGGCUAUGGCAACAGAGCCCAAGCUCUGGCAAAUCUUACCAAGCUAUAAAAGCUUGUGGAAUGGUUGUUUGUCGUCAAAAGUAUCAAACCUAAACCAACAAGGAAUUUGCCUGAGCUAGGUCUUCCCACAAAAGACACGUUGUAUUGGAGGAGCUGGUGAG
This is a non-coding RNA of Phascolarctos cinereus (koala), 450 nucleotides long. The record is from RefSeq and is a predicted model, not a curated record. NCBI's taxonomy places the organism in Eukaryota, Metazoa, Chordata, Mammalia, Diprotodontia, Phascolarctidae.